AGCUGAUGUUGUCUUCAUGGAUUUAUGGUGCUCGCAGGGAUGUGAAUAUCCAGGCUCACCUCAGCUGUAGGGAAACCAGCAUAAACAAUACAGACUUCCAAUCUACAGAAUGCCUGGCCGAGGCAGCAAGAUCUAUUUGAAUAACAGCAGUUGUGUCCUGUGGUGAGAGUAAGUUAUUCCCUGCUGGGUCUAAAUUAUUCAGAAGCAGAGACACCUACUUAAGUGGACGUUUCUAAAGACCACAAAACCGAUAGAGGGAAAAGAAAAAAGAGGGGGCAGAAGAGCUCCAUCGCCUCUACAGGGGGAAGAAAAACUAUGCUUCAUCUUUAGGACCCCUCUCCUCUGGAAUAUGAUUCAUGUCGUCCACCACGGAAUAGUCUGUUUUGCCUUCCAUUGUUCUCCUAAAUGAUGGAGUUAGAUGAUAAAGCAUUUCAUCUGAGGAUGCAAAACAGUGACAGGAGGCAGCAAUUUUGAACCUAUACGUCUUCGCUGGCCCUAGUCAAAAGAUACAGCGUCCCAUUAUAAAAAAAAGUUUCUUGCCCAGGUCUUCUGGGGCCUAUUAACAAAGAAGAUACAUCUCUGGCCUCAGCACACUCCUCCACUUUGAAGGUCUCAUGCUAGAAAGGAGUGAAGUCUAACAUCUCUGAAAAACUGAAAUAGAAGUCUUCUCCAGUAUCAGACAUUAUGACCGCCAUCCACCUACUGAUAUCUGUCUAUCACGGCAGAUAUUUGGCAUCUUGACAAAAAAUUGUAGCACCAAAUGUGAAUAGGGGAGAUGGCAAGAUAUGAUGCUCCCUUUAGCUGAAGAUUGAAAAGAAGUAGUGAUGAUUGCAGGGAACUAUAUUCAAUACCUUGCAAUGGCUGUAAUGGCUUAUAAUGAAAAAGAAUAUGAAAAGGAAUAUAUACAUACAUACAACUGAAUCACUAUGCUGCACACCAGAAAUUAAUACAACAUUGUAAACCAACUAUACUUCAAUAAAAAAGUAGUGAUGAUUGAAGUAAUUGAGAAGCAUCAUAUUUUUAUUUUCAGAAUGAUUAAAAGUAAGUGCUUUGACCAAAAUCCGAAGAUGUGUGCCUGCCCAGUAGAAAGAGCCACUCCAUUCAGUCAGUAACCAGUAAUCAAUAUUAACGCACAGUAAAGUACCAUUGCUGAGACAGACUCAUGCAGGUAUGAAAAUUAAUCAAAAAUGAAUGAAGUUAUUACCAACAAACAAGCAAAGCAGAUUCAAUGAUCAGCAAAAUUCAAUGAGGUGAAAAAAAGAGUAUCUUGGAAACAGCACAAUUUCAACUGCUUCUCUUUCUCCUACUAAUCCCUUCUUGAAUUGCUAUACAUUUGUAGCUUCCUGGAUCGCCUGAGUCCUUCUGAACCUGCCUUGGAAUUUUAAGCUAUCUUUAGUACCUGUUUCAGACUAACACACUAUUCCUGUCCUGACAAUGACACAUUCGUGUGUAUUUUACUAGCCUCAAUCAUCACCCCUUUAACUACAUAAAUAAGUUACGCCCAUUCCAAACGAUCCAUACAAAUUCAUGCUCAACAGAGAACAAGUUAGCAGGGGAAGAAACAUGGAAAAAGACAUUUCAGACAAGGGGAACAGCAUGAGUAGAGGCAUAAAGCACAAAAUACCAUGCUCUGUGCAGAGAACUGUAAUCAUUGCUGGAAGGGAAAGUGCAAGUUGAAAUUUAUCAAGGGAAGGGCACUCUUCACUGCUUUCAGUUAUGUGCCAUGUGAUCAAAGUGCAGAUUACACAAAUGUUUUAAGGCAAAUGUAAGUCAGUGAGUCCAUGCUUGUCAUAUGAGUAUUAAACUGACCGCUAUAUAAGUCAGGUGGAUGUAGCGUCUUUACCCAUACUUCAUUGCCCUUUUGUCACUAAACUUUCACAAUGUCCUAGU
This is a long non-coding RNA of Camelus dromedarius (Arabian camel), 1890 nucleotides long. RefSeq lists it as uncharacterized. NCBI's taxonomy places the organism in Eukaryota, Metazoa, Chordata, Mammalia, Artiodactyla, Camelidae. The record is from RefSeq and is a predicted model, not a curated record. The transcript is spliced from 6 exons.